AUAAGGUUAAGUUAAUAAGGGCGCACGGUGGAUGCCUUGGCACUAGAAGCCGAUGAAGGACGUGACUAACGACGAAAUGCUUUGGGGAGUUGUAAGUAAACAUUGAUCCAGAGAUGUCCGAAUGGGGGAACCCGGCAUGUAAUGCAUGUCACUCAUUACUGUUAAGG
RNAcentral lists this ribosomal RNA (167 nucleotides) under Streptococcus equinus. RNAcentral's name for it is "partial 23S ribosomal RNA". It matches the Rfam family "Bacterial large subunit ribosomal RNA", at positions 1 to 166 of the family's 2925-position model. Lineage: Bacteria; Bacillati; Bacillota; Bacilli; Lactobacillales; Streptococcaceae. The record is from RNAcentral.